CUUCCAAGAAAAGUUCCGGCGUGAGUCACUUUACUGACCGUACCGCAAACCGACACAGGUGGGCAAGGAGAAUAUCCUAAGGCGUUUGAGAGAAGCCUCUCCAAGGAACUCGGCAUAAUGACACCGUAACUUCGGGAUAAGGUGUGCCGACGGUAGGUGAUGUGCCUGCGCACAAAGCCAAAGUCGGUUGCAGUGAAACGGGGGUAGCGACUGUUUACCAAAAACACAGCACUCUGCAAACUCGCAAGAGGAAGUAUAGGGUGUGAUGCCUGCCCGGUGCCGGAAGGUUAAGAGGAGGAGUCAGCCGCAAGGCAAAGCCCCGAAUCGAAGCCCCGGUAAACGGCGGCCGUAACUAUAACGGUCCUAAGGUAGCGAAAUUCCUUGUCGGGUAAGUUCCGACCUGCACGAAUGGCAUAACGACUUCCCCACUGUCUCAGAGAGGCCCUCAGCGAAGUAGCACUAGGGGUGAAGAUACCCUUUACCCGCGGCAGGACGGAAAGACCCCGUGAACCUUUACUGUAACUUGGCACUGAUUUUCGGGUUAGCUUGCGUAGGAUAGGUGGGAGGCUAUGAAGCCGGGAUUCCGGUCUCGGCAGAGCCAACCUUGAAAUACCACCCUGGCUAACCUAAAAAUCUAACUCGCUUCCGUAAUCCGGAAGGAGGACAAUGCCUGGUGGGCAGUUUGACUGGGGCGGUCGCCUCCCAAAAAGUAACGGAGGCGCGCGAAGGUUCCCUCAGCCUGAUUGGAAACCAGGCGAAGAGUGUAAUGGCAUAAGGGAGCUUGACUGCAAGACAAACAAGUCGAGCAGGUGCGAAAGCAGGUCAUAGUGAUCCGGUGGUCCUGUAUGGAAAGGCCAUCGCUCAACGGAUAAAAGGUACUCCGGGGAUAACAGGCUUAUCACGCCCAAGAGUUCACAUCGACGGCGUGGUUUGGCACCUCGAUGUCGGCUCAUCGCAUCCUGGGGCUGAAGUAGGUCCCAAGGGUUUGGCUGUUCGCCAAUUAAAGCGGUACGCGAGCUGGGUUCAAAACGUCGUGAGACAGUUUGGUCCCUAUCCGCCGUGGGCGCAGGAGACUUGAGAGGAGCUAACCUUAGUACGAGAGGACCGGGUUGGACUGACCUCUAGUGUUCCGGUUGUGGCACCAGCCGCAUCGCCGGGUAGCUACGUCGGGAAUGGAUAACCGCUGAAAGCAUCUAAGCGGGAAGCCAACCUCAAGAUUAGGUCUCCCAGGUCGUAAGACCCUAAAGGCCCCUUGUAGACCACAAGGUAAUAGGCUGGGUGUGGAAGCGUAGUAAUACGUGGAGCUGACCAGUACUAAUCGGCCGUGCGGCUUGACCAU
RNAcentral lists this ribosomal RNA (1339 nucleotides) under activated sludge metagenome. Its description in RNAcentral is "bacterial LSU rRNA". It matches the Rfam family "Bacterial large subunit ribosomal RNA", at positions 1605 to 2925 of the family's 2925-position model. The record is from RNAcentral.